RNAcentral lists this long non-coding RNA (517 nucleotides) under Brachypodium distachyon (stiff brome). RNAcentral's name for it is "long non-coding RNA (BDIS_LNC002516)". The record is from RNAcentral. Lineage: Eukaryota; Viridiplantae; Streptophyta; Magnoliopsida; Poales; Poaceae.
CACAUAACGUCUUACAGGUAGGGCCGGGAAAACGGUCAUAUUCUGACCAAUGGUGCCAACCUUCAACGGUUGAGUCCUGACAUGUGGGGACCGCACUCUCCUAACUAACAGUCCCCUGAUAUGAUCUUAGAACAGCCGGAUUUGUCUCUUUUGCAAAAAGCCCAGGCGCUGCUGUCUGGGAAGCCACUCGCCAUCGAACGGUUUGCUUCGUCAAUAACAGCCUUCAGCACCAACGUUUAUGUUUCGACGGGCUUUAACGGUUUCCAUAAGCAAUUAUCUGGAUUUAGGUUGUAGCAAUUGGUUAUCAGAGCAGGUUACGAUCCAGCCACUAGAAAAUCCAAAAAAAAAAAUCCCGUUCGCCAGUCGCUCUCACAUCCUCUUGAUCCAUCCCGUGAAACCCAGGCGAAAGGUGUGGAAUCACUUCGGUGAAACCGCAGAAAACACACUUGUGUGUACGGUAUACCUCAGCUUGGUAGGAGUGGAUUCGGAGUAGCUGCGACGGCAAGAUCGGGCAAGC